UCCUGGUUAGCACAGUUGGUAGAGCACUCUACUUUAAAUGGAGAGGUCCCUGGUUCGGUAUCAGGACCAGGCG
This is a non-coding RNA of Ixodes scapularis (black-legged tick), 73 nucleotides long. Lineage: Eukaryota; Metazoa; Arthropoda; Arachnida; Ixodida; Ixodidae. The record is from Rfam.